GGGGGUUAAAUUUUACUUGUAUUAGGUAUUUAUAUUAAAUUUAUCAUAUGAUUUAAUGAGAUGAAAACUUAAUUAUGAGUUGAGUGAUAUAUUAUGUAUUUAUUGAUUUAAUAUAAACAUCUGAUAACAUAUGUGACAUGACCAAUACAGUGUUUACUUAGAGAUAUUUUGAAAUAGGGUUAGAACGGCUAAUUUAACCUUAGAAACUUGUAAAUAAUGACCUCGUUUUUUCUAUUCCUCUCUACUUAAAUACUUGACAAAGUUCGUUUGACAUAUAACUCAUGUAACAUAAGUCUCAAAUAUGUUAACUUUUGCCGAUUGAGCUAAACCCUAAGGGGGUGGGGUGUAUCUAACUAAUUUGAUGGAUAUAGUUAACUUUCACAAGUGAGUAAAAUAACAAAAAUGAUGCGAAAUAAUUGAGAUACAAACAAAGUAACACGAACAUCAGAAUCAUCAAAAAACACAUCUAUUAAAUUGAAAGAUUUUAGAAAUGUAAUAGGUCUCAAGCUCGCGUUCGAUCACAUUUUCUUUUUGAAAAAAUUUUAAAAUAUUUGUAUCUUUUGAUAAGAUUUUGAAUAUCUAAUCAGACUUCCACAUACAAAACUUCAAUCUUUCACCAAAACAUCCAAACACAAUUUCAAAAAAAAAGAUAAACUCAAAAUUUUCAAAUUUCAAGUUUCAACUUCAGAAUCUACAAUCUCCGAAUCUUGCUUAGCUUUACUUGUUGGGAACUAAAAGAGGUGUGGGGUUUUAUUAGUGUCAAUCAAUGUCAAGCCCAUGCCCAAAUAACACAACACAAAGCUAACACUAUUGGCUUCAUUAUGUUUGUUUAAUAAGACAGAUAGUCUCACACUGUGUUGGGAAUAGACAUAUACAAACUCACAAGGCACAAAGGAUUUCUCUUUCAAUGUCCUUAAAUUGUCUCUUUAACCCUCUUUUCCCCCUCUUCUUUCUCACUUCCUAUAACACAUAAUUUUAAGGAUAGGACAACUCUUGUUCAUCAAACAUACAGACAAACAAACUAAGAAGUUUCACUAAAAGGGUGUUUGAGGAAGGGUAAAAGGUCUCUUCAUUCUUGAUAAGAAGUCUCGAGUUUAAAUCUUGUAAUGAAGUAAAGAUCUCUCCAUUCUUCACGAGAAGUCUCGAGUUCAAAAUCUUGAAAAGGAAACUUUUUUUUCUUGGGAGUAGGAGCAAAUAAGUGUUUCAUGUAAUGGUGUAUAGUGGAAUGACAACGAAGAAGUUUCGAGUUUGAAUCAUGAGGUUUUCUUUGGACUGAUUUUGGUGCUGAAAAAAAUUGGUGGAAAAUUAUCAAACAGUUGGUGUGCAAUGAAGGUUCUUGUUGAUUUUGGUUCUGUAGAUUUGAAGAAAAUGUCAGAAAUGCAAAUGCAAGAAAAUACUUACUUUGUGGGUUUCAAAGUUGGAUUUUUUCUGCUUGAAAUGGAUUUUUCCGGCAGUUCUUGAUUUUCCGGUGGAUUGACGACGGUGGACGGUGGUGAUAUUGGCGGGGACGGCUCAAUCUUUUCUCUCUGAAAAAAUGGUACUCUUGUAUAUCAUUUUGAUCUUAAUUUUUAUUUUAUUUUUCUACAAUUAAUUUUGGUUUUUUUAUUUUUAAUGUUAUUUUUGUUGUAGAAAAUUUGGAAUUAAUUGUAUUAUUAGUAUUAUCUUUUGGAAGAAGGAAAUUAUAUAGGAUUUAUACAUAUUAUUAUUACUUGAUUUAAUUGCUAAAUAAUAAUCUUGUUUUUGUCCCAAA
Molecule: long non-coding RNA, 1750 nt
Organism: Solanum lycopersicum (tomato)
Lineage: Eukaryota; Viridiplantae; Streptophyta; Magnoliopsida; Solanales; Solanaceae
Source: RefSeq, a predicted model, not a curated record